Long non-coding RNA from Meriones unguiculatus (Mongolian gerbil), 4161 nucleotides. RefSeq lists it as uncharacterized. NCBI's taxonomy places the organism in Eukaryota, Metazoa, Chordata, Mammalia, Rodentia, Muridae. The record is from RefSeq and is a predicted model, not a curated record. The transcript is spliced from 3 exons.
GAUCUGGGUACUGUUUUGAGCCUAGGCUCUGUGGUCUUGGUCUGUAUCCAAUCCCCUGUCUAUGUCCCCACCUCUUUGCUACUUCUUGUAUCUUUCUUUCCUUUUCAUCUGAUGACCCUUUGGGUACUUCUGGGGUUCUUCCUAAACUCUGGUCAAAUUGAUUUGCUUUUCCAGAAGAAAAGUCUGAGAUAAACAUUUGGGGUUGACUUCUACUUUUUUAGGGAGGAAAUCACUCUUUAGAGCUUAGCGGCAGGAGGAAGAUUGCUCAGAGAAGACCCACACUUGGGUCUACAGUGCCCUAGACUUGUGUCUUAGGAGAGUGAAGAAGUAGGGAAGUUGCUCCUGCCCUCCUGGUGUGGUUACCUCUGGAGCUAUCAUAGUCUCUGCUGGCAAAGAGAUAUCAGCCGACACGAAGAUGCUCCAGGCAUGUGAGGCCAUCUGUUCUAACCAAGAAUAGAGAGUAAAAACAGGACCAGGCUGCACCCUUCACAUCUCCAGCCCAUCCUUCAUCUUCUCUUUCUUUCCAUUAUGGUGCAUAUGGACUCUGCCACUCCACACCCAUUACACAUGCUCAAAGACCUCAGACUGCUAUGUGACAGAGAAGGGGAAAUACUCCGAAAGCCUCCCGGUCCUCAGCUGGAAUCUGUUACCUCCUUGAAGAUACCAGAUGCCUCCUUAGCUUAGCAUAGGCUGCUCAGAGGUGCCAGUGGCCUUUUGAACCCUUAUCUUUUAAGUUUUUAUGCACACAGUGUCAGGAGUGCCCAUAACUUAGUGGCUUCUUGUAGAAAACAGAAAGUCAUUGUGAUCCAAUAAAAAGACUUCCUAUAAGUUACUACCAAAAGUUCAGUCCAUAAAGGAAAAGUAAAACAGACAGUGGAAAUUCAUUCAAAUUAAGGCUUCUAUUAUUAAAAGGAAGUCUUAAAGGGAAUGAAAAGCCUGGGCAUUCUUAGGGAAGAUGUGUCUGUGGAACUAAUAUCAGGAGGAUUGAUAUAAUAUACAAAGACCUCUAGAGUUAAAUAAUAAGAAAUAAUAAUAUAUAAAAGACAUGAACAUGCACUUUACUACGAAAAGAAUAAGGUUAGUAAAUAAACACCUGGAAAGAUCCUUAGCAUCUUAGGGAAGUGCAAGUUAGUUAAAAAACACAAAGACAUACUACCUCUUGUUUAUUAUGGGCUAAAAUGAAAAGGCCAUCAUCGGUAGAGAUAUGGGAGAAAGUAGUUUAGUAGGUUCCUAAUAAAAGUUAAGGGCUGGGGAGAUGAUCCAGUCAGUAAAGUACCUGCCAUACAAUCAUGAGUACUGACUCCCCAAAACCACGUUAAGAUCUGGCCAUGGGGCAUGUGCCUAUAAGGGGUGUUGUGGAGAUAGGUGGAGCCCUGAAGGUCAUUGGCUACCUGUCUGGCUAGUUAAUUGGAUGAGGUUCAGGCCCAGUGAGAAAAGGCACCCUUUGAAAACUUCUGGCCUCCAUAUGUGUCUUACUGACUGUUGGGUUGCUAUAAAGAGACACGAUGACCAAGGUGACUCUUUCAAAAGAAAGCAUUUGAUUGGGGCUUUCAGAGGGUUAGUCCAUUAUCAUCACAGCAAGAAGCAGACAAGCAUGGCCCUACAGCAGCAGCUGAGAGCUUUACCUCUUGAUUCACAGGAAGCAGGCAGAAAGGGAGAGAGACAUUGGGCCUGGCAUGGGCUUUUGAAACAGCAAAGCCCACCACAGUGAAACACCUCCUUAACAAGGACACACCUACUCUAACAAGGGCACAUCUCCUAAGCCAUUCCAAACAGCUUAUCAAUUGGGCACUAAACAUUCAAAUAUGUGAACCUAUGAAAGGCAUCCUCACUCCAACCACCACAGUAUUCACUUAUGUACACACACAUAUUUCCAUAUGCAAAUGUGCAUGCGCCCCCCCACAUACACCACACACAUAACAACACAGCAUGAAAAGACUUUUAUAAAAGUGUUUAUAACAUUUUUCUCUAUACUAACUUUCAGUUGGAAAGAACCCAAAUGGUAGGUUAAUGAUGAUUCUGUGGUACACAUACACAGUGAAUAAGCACGCAGCAGCAAGACACACUACUGGAACAUCAAAAUAAUCAUACUGAGUGAAACAAGUCAGGCCAACCCAUCCCAACCCAAACCACACCUAACAAGAAGAAUUUGUACCCUAUAAUCAUAUCCCUUUCUCAUCUUCUGCUCUCUAUCCCUGUAACAAAUCUUUUUGGAACAGUGACAAAAAGCAAAUUUUCAGUUCCUGAACUCAGUUACAGUUCUCGGACACCUCUGAGAAAUUCUGUUGAAAUGUUGAAGUGAAUCAUUUGCAAAAUUCCUAAGCCAACAGAGAAAAAAAAAAAAUCUCUCCCCAAAGAGAAAAAUCAAUCAAUCAAUCAAUCAAUCAAACAAACAACAAUAGCAAUGAACUUAACUCUUUACUCAAGAAAUGUUUAUCCAGGAAGCGCACAGUGCACAUUUCACACUGACAAACAAAGUCUGCUAUAGCUACUAAGAGCACUUGCCUUCUAGGGUAGCCAAAUUAGUGUCUGUUCUCACCAACUGAACAGCAAACCCAUUGGCUGAGUAUGGGUACCGUAGAUGCAUGCUGAUAGGCCUUCUCCAUUGUGUGAUAUUGUGAGAGGCGGGGCCAAGCAAGGCCUUCAAGAAAUGAUGGUCAGUUCUUCCUCCCUUCAUUCACACACAUACACAUACAAAUGGGUUAAAAUGUUGAUGUAAGGUUAUCUUGAGAGCUGAUUGCUCCACAUGGCAAUUAGGCUAGGCCUCCUAAGUGCCUGGUCUUUUGACAUAUGAUGAGCUGCGCCAUCUUGACAUUUCUCCAGCAGAAGGAUGAAGACCCUUGAUCUUGGGUCAGAAGCAUGGGCCAAAAUACGUCUCAUUUCUUUGUAAUGUAGCCAGCCUGUUGUGUCAUGAUUAGCAACGGAAAGAAGACUAAGACCCUCACUUCAUUCGUCUACAGCCUUUGGUUUACACUGUCAGUUUCAGCCUCAGCAGCAAGAAGAUGGGGACUCUCCUAGCCUUCCUGGAGGUGGAGAAGACUGUCUCCAGCUUGCUCAUACUUACCUUUGCCUCGGCAAUUCCUUGGGACUCUUCCUGUUUUUCUACCUUCCAGAGAGGACUUCGUUCCUUGAACAAUUCAGAACUCUGUGCAAACAGGGGCUGCUUUCCCCAGUGCAAGGUUGAAGGGAGCCCGUGCCACUGAGACAAGGCUUGGCUGGACUGGAAGAUGAUGUAGGAAAGGCAAAUAGGAAGUGAGGCCAAGUGGGGCAAACUGACUUCCCAUUGUGGAUGCUCAGGGUACCCUUUGCCCCUUUGCUGUAGUUUCUGAUUUCCUCUAUGAGGUGAUCUGCCUUGGGGCUCCCAGCUGGAAGUCCAUACUUCACGCUGGACUCUCCCAAUUCAGAGGGCUGAGGGAGUCCACAGAGUGGUCAGAGCCCGCUUAUCUGUCAGCCUUCCUGGAGAAGGAGGAAGUCCUCCUUUCCUCCCUGGUAAUCUUUUCCUCCCACUUCUAAUGUCAGGAAUGCCAGUAGCCCCGUCCCUCAUAUAGGGGAAAACUCUUACACAACCACCCAGCCUUUAAACUUCCCGAUAAUGACUGUAUUAAAAUUUAAACAAAAGGCACGACAUUUGUUUAUUGCCUCCCCACAGCCAUCGUGAAGCGAAGAGGCAUGUCACACGAAGCAUCCUGAGCUGAGGAGCGACAAGCACCCUAUACACAAGGCUUGGAAAGGACAGAUGGGUACAAGGUGAGGAAGAAAGCCCUGAAGAGCGCAGCAUGCACAGGAAAGUAGAUUUCUGAUCCCUUCUGUGGAAAGUGGAAAUCUCCUGUGGGUGAAUCAUGCCACUCAGGAUUUAGGAAGUCACAGGUCCUGGGUCCUGUUGCUUUUCACCAUGUCUAUCUUUCUGCUCAUCUGUCCAUCCAUCCAUCCAUCCAUCCAUCCAUCCAUCCAUCCAGUCCUUUGAGUGGUGGGUAUCUGAAGAGCAAGGACAACAAUUUGAAGAAUGUUGAAUUUGGAGAACUGGCCAACAUCUUCAGUUUGAGAAUAGAAUGAGGCUAAUUCAAGUUUUUUAUGUGGGCUCUUCAAGAGGGAAAUCUUUCAUGGCCAAGUGACCUGUGUCAUUCUUUGAAAAUUUCAUACAAUACAUUUUGAUCAUAUUCA